RNAcentral lists this ribosomal RNA (384 nucleotides) under uncultured prokaryote. RNAcentral describes it as "bacterial SSU rRNA". It matches the Rfam family "Archaeal small subunit ribosomal RNA", at positions 341 to 725 of the family's 1478-position model. The record is from RNAcentral.
GCGAAAACUUUACAAUGCUGGCAGCAGCGAUAAGGGAACCUCGAGUGCCAGGUUACAAAUCUGGCUGUCGAGAUGCCUAAAAAGCAUUUCAUAGCAAGGGCCGGGCAAGACCGGUGCCAGCCGCCGCGGUAACACCGGCGGCUCGAGUGGUAACCGUUAUUAUUGGGUCUAAAGGGUCUGUAGCCGGCCGGAUAAGUCUCUUGAGAAAUCUGGCAGCUUAACUGUCAGGCUUUCAGGAGAUACUGUCUGGCUCGAGGCCGGGAGAGGUGAGAGGUACUUCAGGGGUAGGGGUGAAAUCUUGUAAUCCUUGAAGGACCACCAGUGGCGAAGGCGUCUCACCAGAACGGACCUGACGGCAAGGGAUGAAAGCUAGGGGCACGAACC